This 87-nucleotide ribosomal RNA is filed under the name uncultured bacterium. RNAcentral's name for it is "partial 16S ribosomal RNA". The record is from RNAcentral.
UUGUAAACUGCUUUUGUGCAGGAAGAACGCCAGGUACGAGUACCUGAUUGACGGUACUGCAUGAAUAAGCACCGGCUAACUCCGUGC